This 520-nucleotide ribosomal RNA is filed under the name uncultured Glomus. RNAcentral describes it as "bacterial SSU rRNA". It matches the Rfam family "Eukaryotic small subunit ribosomal RNA", at positions 569 to 1082 of the family's 1831-position model. Lineage: Eukaryota; Fungi; Glomeromycota; Glomeromycetes; Glomerales; Glomeraceae. The record is from RNAcentral.
AGCAGCCGCGGUAAUUCCAGCUCCAAUAGCGUAUAUUAAAGUUGUUGCAGUUAAAAAGCUCGUAGUUGAAUUUCGGGGAUCAAGUUUAUUGGUCGUGCUAUUGUACGUACCUGGUAUUAUUGAUUCCUACCUUCUGACGAACCAUGGUGUCAUUAAUUUGGUGUCAUGGGGAAUACAGGACUGUUACUUUGAAAAAAUUAGAGUGUUUAAAGCAGGCUCACGCUUGAAUACAUUAGCAUGGAAUAACGAAAUAGGACGUUUGAUUCUAUUUUGUUGGUUUCUAGGAUCGACGUAAUGAUUAAUAGGGAUAGUUGGGGGCAUUAGUAUUCAAUUGUCAGAGGUGAAAUUCUUGGAUUUAUUGAAGACUAACUACUGCGAAAGCAUUUGCCAAGGAUGUUUUCAUUAAUCAAGAACGAAAGUUAGGGGAUCGAAGACGAUCAGAUACCGUCGUAGUCUUAACCAUAAACCUAUGCCGACUAGGGAUCGGGAUGAUGUUAAUUUUUAACUGGUAACUCAUUCG